Molecule: ribosomal RNA, 253 nt
Filed under: uncultured bacterium
Lineage: Bacteria
Description: partial 16S ribosomal RNA
Rfam family: Bacterial small subunit ribosomal RNA
Source: RNAcentral
UACGUAGGGGGCUAGCGUUGUCCGGAAUCAUUGGGCGUAAAGCGCACGUAGGCGGCUUUGUAAGUUAGAGGUGAAAGCCUGGAGCUCAACUCCAGAACUGCCUUUAAGACUGCAUCGCUUGAAUCCUGGAGAGGUGAGUGGAAUUCCGAGUGUAGAGGUGAAAUUCGUAGAUAUUCGGAAGAACACCAGUGGCGAAGGCGGCUCACUGGACAGGUAUUGACGCUGAGGUGCGAAAGCGUGGGGAGCAAACAGG